UUGCUCUUCAACGAGGAAUCCCUAGUAAGCGCAAGUCAUCAGCUUGCGUUGAUUACGUCCCUGCCCUUUGUACACACCGCCCGUCGCUACUACCGAUUGAAUGGCUCAGUGAGGCCUUCGGACUGGCCCAGAGAGGCGGGCAACUGCCACUCAGGGCCGGAAAGUUGUCCAAACUCGGUCAUUUAGAGGAAGUAAAAGUCGUAACAAGGUCUCCGUUGGUGAACCAGCGGAGGGAUCAUUACCGAAGUUACUCUUCAUACCCUUUUGUGAACACUACCCCAUUGCCGCGCGUUGCCUCGGCGGGGAGGUCCGCGGGGUUGCGCUCCGGCGCUCCCCCCGGGCCCCCGCCGGCCGCGCCGAACUCUUCAUUUGCAAAGCGGACUGUAUGUUCUGAUUAUAUCUUGAAAAACAAGUCAAAACUUUCAACAACGGAUCUCUUGGUUCUGGCAUCGAUGAAGAACGCAGCGAAAUGCGAUAAGUAAUGUGAAUUGCAGAAUUCAGUGAAUCAUCGAAUCUUUGAACGCACAUUGCGCCCGGCAGCAAUCUGCCGGGCAUGCCUGUCCGAGCGUCAUUUCUGCCCUCGAGCGCGGUUCGGCCCCUAGCAGGCCGUCCGCCGCCCGGUGUUGGGGCGCUGCGGGCCCUCGUGCCCGCAGGCCCUGAAAUGAAGUGGCGGUCCCGCCGCGGCGCCCCCUGCGUAGUAGUAAAGCACCUCGCAUCGGGUCCCGGCGGAGGCCAGCCGUCGAACCUCUUUCUCUUGAUGGUUUGACCUCGGAUCAGGUAGGGUUACCCGCUGAACUUAAGCAUAUCAAUAAGCGGAGGA
This 820-nucleotide ribosomal RNA is filed under the name uncultured fungus. Its description in RNAcentral is "eukaryotic LSU rRNA". The stretch from base 1 to 241 matches the Rfam family "Eukaryotic small subunit ribosomal RNA", at positions 1593 to 1831 of the family's 1831-position model. The record is from RNAcentral. Lineage: Eukaryota; Fungi.